GACGUAGGGCGCGAGCGUUGUCCGGAUUUAUUGGGCGUAAAGAGCUCGUAGGCGGCUUGUCGCGUCGACUGUGAAAACCCGCGGCUCAACCGCGGGCGUGCAGCCGAUACGGGCAGGCUAGAGUUCGGUAGGGGAGACUGGAAUUCCUGGUGUAGCGGUGAAAUGCGCAGAUAUCAGGAGGAACACCGAUGGCGAGGGCAGGUCUCUGGGCCGAUACUGACGCUGAGGAGCGAAAGCGUGGGGAGCGAACAGG
This 253-nucleotide ribosomal RNA is filed under the name uncultured bacterium. RNAcentral's name for it is "partial 16S ribosomal RNA". It matches the Rfam family "Bacterial small subunit ribosomal RNA", at positions 524 to 776 of the family's 1533-position model. The record is from RNAcentral.